Molecule: signal recognition particle RNA, 95 nt
Filed under: Ignavibacteria bacterium
Lineage: Bacteria; Pseudomonadati; Ignavibacteriota; Ignavibacteria
Description: signal recognition particle sRNA small type
Rfam family: Bacterial small signal recognition particle RNA
About the family: The signal recognition particle (SRP) is a universally conserved ribonucleoprotein involved in the co-translational targeting of proteins to membranes.
Source: RNAcentral
UGUCAGGAACACUCGGCAGGAGUUUGCCCAACCCCGCCAGGUCCGAAAGGAAGCAACGGUAAGCAAAUUUCCUGGGUGAGUGUCUCCUGACUUUU